Molecule: long non-coding RNA, 367 nt
Organism: Candoia aspera
Lineage: Eukaryota; Metazoa; Chordata; Lepidosauria; Squamata; Candoiidae
Exons: 3
Source: RefSeq, a predicted model, not a curated record
CGCUGCGCAUGCGCUUCGCUGGGUUCGUACGUCGCGCUCAGCGGUACCGAGGGACGUUUGGCUCGGUGUGGUGUGUGAAUCCAAAGUGAUUGUGAUUUGUUGAUCAUACUUGCAAGUGUGUUGUGCAAAUUGCCAGUGAUUGUGCUUUAUUUAAUAAGAUCAGUAUGUGGCCAAAAUGGGACCUUCCAUACUCAAGUGAGAGAUAUUAGAAGGCUUAGGAGAAACCCAGAUUUCCCAAGUGCACUGAAUGAGUCCAGCUCUGCUACCCAUUCAUCAGAAUUACAGGAUUUUGCCUCUUCCUCUGCCACACCCUAUGUAUGUUUUGACUCAAAGCAAGUUGUGCAAUGGAUAUGAAUCGUGAUGAAGA